This 657-nucleotide ribosomal RNA is filed under the name Salmonella enterica. RNAcentral's name for it is "partial 23S ribosomal RNA". It matches the Rfam family "Bacterial large subunit ribosomal RNA", at positions 2259 to 2910 of the family's 2925-position model. The record is from RNAcentral. RNAcentral also lists the same sequence under 2 other names. Lineage: Bacteria; Pseudomonadati; Pseudomonadota; Gammaproteobacteria; Enterobacterales; Enterobacteriaceae.
UGGUGGGUAGUUUGACUGGGGCGGUCUCCUCCUAAAGAGUAACGGAGGAGCACGAAGGUUGGCUAAUCCUGGUCGGACAUCAGGAGGUUAGUGCAAUGGCAUAAGCCAGCUUGACUGCGAGCGUGACGGCGCGAGCAGGUGCGAAAGCAGGUCAUAGUGAUCCGGUGGUUCUGAAUGGAAGGGCCAUCGCUCAACGGAUAAAAGGUACUCCGGGGAUAACAGGCUGAUACCGCCCAAGAGUUCAUAUCGACGGCGGUGUUUGGCACCUCGAUGUCGGCUCAUCACAUCCUGGGGCUGAAGUAGGUCCCAAGGGUAUGGCUGUUCGCCAUUUAAAGUGGUACGCGAGCUGGGUUUAGAACGUCGUGAGACAGUUCGGUCCCUAUCUGCCGUGGGCGCUGGAGAACUGAGGGGGGCUGCUCCUAGUACGAGAGGACCGGAGUGGACGCAUCACUGGUGUUCGGGUUGUCAUGCCAAUGGCACUGCCCGGUAGCUAAAUGCGGAAGAGAUAAGUGCUGAAAGCAUCUAAGCACGAAACUUGCCCCGAGAUGAGUUCUCCCUGAGACUUAGAGUCUCCUGAAGGAACGUUGAAGACGACGACGUUGAUAGGCCGGGUGUGUAAGCGCAGCGAUGCGUUGAGCUAACCGGUACUAAUGAACC